Molecule: long non-coding RNA, 1162 nt
Filed under: Zea mays
Lineage: Eukaryota; Viridiplantae; Streptophyta; Magnoliopsida; Poales; Poaceae
Description: long non-coding RNA (ZMAY_LNC000260)
Source: RNAcentral
GGUAUCACCAUCAACACUAUAUGCCAUUGCCUGUGUCAUGGAGGGGGUGCCGUUCAUCAAUGGGAGCCCCCAGAACACCUUUGUGCCUGGUGCGUGGUUUGGUGUGUUUGCAAAAGCUUCAUGGUGUUGCAUUUCUGUUCCAAAGUUUCAUGGUGUUGUAUUUCUGUUCCAAGGCUUAUUAUACCUGUUGCAUGUUCGUAGGGCUGAUUGAUCUUGCUAUAAAAAACAACUGCUUGAUUGGUGGUGACGACUUCAAGAGUGGACAGACCAAGAUGAAAUCUGUCUUGGUCGAUUUCCUUGUUGGUGCUGGAAUAAAGGUGGGAACCUAGUAUCUCUCUUCUAUUAAGAUGAAGUGUUUUUUUGGCAAAUGACGUUAUUGCAAUAACUCUUCUAUAUUUUCAUUUUCAUGCAGCCCACCUCAAUCGUGAGCUACAACCACUUGGGAAACAACGAUGGCAUGAACCUGUCUGCCCCUCAAACAUUCAGGUCCAAGGAGAUCUCCAAGAGCAACGUGGUGGAUGACAUGGUCUCGAGCAAUGCCAUCCUCUAUGAGCCCGGCGAGCAUCCCGAUCAUGUCGUUGUCAUCAAGGUCUGUUAGCUGAUCUUUCACCUCGUUAAAAGUUGACAUAUGCAAGGCAGAUUUACAUUGAAACUUGUCACUCUUUUGUUGCAGUAUGUGCCGUACGUGGGAGACAGCAAGAGGGCUAUGGACGAGUACACCUCAGAGAUCUUCAUGGGCGGCAAGAACACCAUCGUGCUGCACAACACCUGUGAGGACUCGCUCCUCGCCGCACCUAUCAUCCUUGAUCUGGUGCUCUUGGCUGAGCUCAGCACCAGGAUCCAGCUGAAAGCUGAGGGAGAGGUAAGAGCCCCCCAAGUGAUUAACCUGAAAGCACGCUGCACGCUAGGUGAUAUAGCACUUUUAAUACCUUCUGGUGUCUCUCUUAUGCAGGACAAAUUCCACUCCUUCCACCCGGUGGCCACCAUCCUGAGCUACCUCACCAAGGCACCCCUGGUAAGCCUUUUCUCCUGCAUCCCGGCAUCACUGCACUGCGUUUUGCUUCAAUCCAGCCACUGAUCGUCUCUCUCGAAACCUGAACAACAGGUUCCCCCUGGCACACCGGUGGUGAACGCUCUGGCCAAGCAGAGGGCGAUGCUGGAG